RNAcentral lists this ribosomal RNA (253 nucleotides) under uncultured bacterium. Its description in RNAcentral is "partial 16S ribosomal RNA". It matches the Rfam family "Bacterial small subunit ribosomal RNA", at positions 524 to 776 of the family's 1533-position model. The record is from RNAcentral.
UACGUAGGGUGCGAGCGUUGUCCGGAAUUAUUGGGCGUAAAGGGCUCGUAGGCGGUUUGUCGCGUCGGGAGUGAAAACCCAGGGCUUAACCCUGGGCUGGCUUCCGAUACGGGCAGACUAGAGGUAUGCAGGGGAGAACGGAAUUCCUGGUGUAGCGGUGAAAUGCGCAGAUAUCAGGAGGAACACCGGCGGCGAAGGCGGUUCUCUGGGCAUUACCUGACGCUGAGGAGCGAAAGUGUGGGGAGCGAACAGG